This 253-nucleotide ribosomal RNA is filed under the name uncultured bacterium. RNAcentral describes it as "partial 16S ribosomal RNA". It matches the Rfam family "Bacterial small subunit ribosomal RNA", at positions 524 to 776 of the family's 1533-position model. The record is from RNAcentral.
UACGGAGGGUGCAAGCGUUAAUCGGAAUUACUGGGCGUAAAGCGCACGCAGGUGGCUGAGUCAGUCGAUUGUGAAAGCCCUGGGCUUAACCUAGGAAUUGCAGUCGAUACUACUCAGCUAGAGUAUGGGAGAGGGCAGUGGAAUUCCCGGUGUAGCGGUGAAAUGCGUAGAUAUCUGGAGGAACACCGGUGGCGAAGGCGGCGUCCUGGACCAACACUGACACUGAUGAGCGAAAGCCAGGGGAGCAAACGGG